UAUCUCUGUAGAGUCCUGCAUAUCAAUAAGCGGAGGAAAAGAAACUAACUAGGAUUCCCUCAGUAACGGCGAGUGAAGCGGGAAGAGCUCAAAUUUGAAAUCUUCAAGGUUCUACCUUGACGAAUUGUAGUUUAAAGAAGUGUUUUCUGUUGGAGUUUUGGUAAAAGUUCUUUGGAAUAGGACAUCAUAGAGGGUGAGAAUCCCGUAUUUGACCAUUAUUUCCAGCUUUGUGAUACACUUUCAAAGAGUCGGAUUGUUUGGGAAUGCAGUCCAAAAUGGGUGGUAAAUUUCAUCUAAAGCUAAAUACUGGCGAGAGACCGAUAGCGAACAAGUACCGUGAGGGAAAGAUGAAAAGAACUUUGAAAAGAGAGUUAAACAGUACGUGAAAUUGUCAAAAGGGAAGCGUUUGACACCAGUGUUGUUUUCUCGAAAAUCAAUUAAAAAAGGCAGGAUUUUGUGUUGUAUUGACUUUAUCAGCUUUCUGCACUCUUUUCUUGUCUUUUUUAAUGCACUUUUCGUUUGACAAGUCAACAUCAAUUUCUUUUGUUGUAAAAGGGUCAUUGGAAGGUGGCUUUCUUUUCGGAGAAAGUGUUUAUAGCCUUUGGCCUCUGCAAUCGGAGAGAUUGAGGUCUGCAGCGUAGAUCCUUGGGGUUAGAUACAUUUGUGCUAAGUUAUAGCCUUUCAUAGACAACUUGUUGACUAUGAUCAGUCAUGUAGCUUACUCGCUUAUGCUAUUUUACCUACGCUUAGGAUGUUGACGAUCAGCUGAGCGCG
This 774-nucleotide ribosomal RNA is filed under the name uncultured Neocallimastigales. Its description in RNAcentral is "partial large subunit ribosomal RNA". It matches the Rfam family "Eukaryotic large subunit ribosomal RNA", at positions 24 to 627 of the family's 3401-position model. The record is from RNAcentral. Lineage: Eukaryota; Fungi; Neocallimastigomycota; Neocallimastigomycetes; Neocallimastigales.